Molecule: long non-coding RNA, 345 nt
Filed under: Elaeis guineensis (African oil palm)
Lineage: Eukaryota; Viridiplantae; Streptophyta; Magnoliopsida; Arecales; Arecaceae
Description: long non-coding RNA (EGUI_LNC018501)
Source: RNAcentral
UGGUCUUCUAAGAAGAAAAGAUGGAGAAACAUAGCGAUCGCUAUGGCAAUUUCUGGCGAGGAGAACAAAGAGUUUAGGUACCUUUAAAGGGCAAUGGAAUCAAGCUUCCAAUCCUUCUUGAUGUUGGCCUCUUCCAACGGAAUUGGGAGAUGAGAGUCUUCUUUCUAUCUCUUUUUUUCUUUUUUUUGUAUCUCUGCUUUAAAAUUCAUGCCAUCCUUUUUGGGCCAUUUGAGCUGACUAUUGCUUCUAGGCAAGUCAAAUGGAUCUGGCCCAAUUCUAUAUUAGGUCCUUUAAGACUAGGGUAUUACAAUCUAUAGCUGCUCUAUUGUUGGCUAUAGUGGUGGC